RNAcentral lists this ribosomal RNA (1366 nucleotides) under uncultured prokaryote. RNAcentral describes it as "partial 16S ribosomal RNA". It matches the Rfam family "Bacterial small subunit ribosomal RNA". The record is from RNAcentral.
CAUGCAGUCGAACGAGAACCCGCCUUCGGGCGGGGGACAGUGGCGAAAGGGCGAGUAAUGCACUCCUACGUACCCCGAGGCGGGGGAUAGGUCGCGGAAACGCGGCGUAAUACCCUAUGUGCUCUCAGGAGGGAAGGCUUCGGCCACCUCGGGAGCGGGGAGUGUCCUAUCAGGUUGUUGGUGAGGUAAUGGCCUACCAAGCCGAAGACGGGUAGCGGGUGUGAGAGCAUGACCCGCCGCAUCGGGACUGAGACACUGCCCGGACUCCUACGGGAGGCUGCAGCGACGAAUCUUCCGCAAUGGGCGCAAGCCUGACGGAGCAAUGCCGCGUGCAGGAUGAAGCAGCUUCGCUGUGUAAACUGCUGUCAGGUUCUAGAAUCAAUGAUCAGAACCAGAGGAAGGGCCGGCUAAACUCGUGCCAGCAGCCGCGGUAAUACGAGUGGCCCGAGCGUUAAUCGGAAUCACUGGGCUUAAAGGGUGCGCAGGCGGACCGAAAGGCAUCUCGUGAAAUCCCCCGGCUCAACCGGGGAACUGCGGGGUGAACCGUCGGUCUUGAGGCAGGUAGGGGUCAGUGGAACCAUCGGUGGAGCGGUGAAAUGCGUAGAGAUCGAUGGGAACGCCAAUGGCGAAGGCAGCUGACUGGGCCUGUUCUGACGCUCAGGCACGAAAGCGUGGGGAGCAAACAGGAUUAGAUACCCUGGUAGUCCACGCCGUAAACGAUGUGCACUAGAUCGCAGGGGCUCUCAUGUCUUUGCGGUCGAAGGAAAACCGUUAAGUGCACCGCCUGGGGAGUACGGUCGCAAGGCUAAAACUCAAAGGAAUUGACGGGGGCUCACACAAGCGGUGGAGCAUGUUGCUUAAUUCGAGGCAACGCGAAGAACCUUACCUGGGUUUGACAUGCACGGAUUAACUUUGUGAAAGCAGAGCCACGCCUUCGGGUGGAACGUGCACAGGUGCUGCAUGGCUGUCGUCAGCUCGUGCUGUGAAGUGUCGGUUUAAGUCCCUUAACGAGCGCAACCCCUAUCGCUAGUUGCCAGCGGGUAAUGCCGGGGACUCUAGCGAGACUGCCGGUGUCAAAUCGGAGGAAGGUGGGGACGACGUCAAGUCCGCAUGGCCUUUAUGCCCAGGGCUGCACACGUGCUACAAUGGCAGGUACAGAACGAAGCAAUACCGCGAGGUGGAGCAAAUCGCUCAAAACCUGCCCCAGUUCGGAUUGCAGGCUGCAAUUCGCCUGCAUGAAGUUGGAAUCGCUAGUAAUCGCGGAUCAGCUACGCCGCGGUGAAUACGUUCCUGAGCCUUGUACACACCGCCCGUCAAGUCAUGGAAGCUGGCAGCACCCGAAGUCGCCGCGUUUCAGCGGUGCCCA